Molecule: ribosomal RNA, 376 nt
Filed under: Aedes alboannulatus
Lineage: Eukaryota; Metazoa; Arthropoda; Insecta; Diptera; Culicidae
Description: eukaryotic LSU rRNA
Rfam family: 5.8S ribosomal RNA (bases 1-129)
Source: RNAcentral
GCUCGUGGAUCGAUGAAGACCACAGCUAAAUGCGCGUCAGAAUGUGAACUGCAGGACUCAUGAACACCGACAAGUUGAACGCAUAUUGCACACUGUACAACAGUACGAUGUACACAUUUUUGAGUGCCUAUAUUUAUCCAUGCAACUGUACGUGCUUGCGCGUCCCACCGGCCGAACGGCGCACCCCGUACGCGUAGUGACGUUUUCUCGGUCCAGCCCAGUAAAACGUUCAAGAUAGUCAGGCGCGCCCCGACCGAGCGCGGUUGAAGAAUACAACCCCUAGACCAACGCGCUUGGUUAUGUUGUAUUUUAUCGGCAGUACCGCCACCACCCAGUAGGCCUCAAAUAAUGUGUGACUACCCCCUAAAUUUAAGCA